UAGCAAACAGCCAAACUGAAAAUAUCCCAUUAGAAGUGUUUGAGAGUACAUGAUCAAGACACCUAGUGCACAAGGGUGCUUAUUGUAAUUAUAUUUAGGAAACAAGAUACGAUCUUAAAACAUAAAGCAAUAAUACGAGUUGAACAUCAAAACAAGAUAACACAACAAUUUCACAAACACAUCUCUCAGGCUUCUUUAUUUUGACAAGGUUAUGUAUGCAGGCUGCAAAUACAUGAUAUUUGUCCGCGUUACUAAUAGGGAUGAAGAAUGACACUGAAAGAGUCGAGGUAAUCCCCGUAGUUUCCGCUGAAUCCACCAAAGCUACCCUUAGCGACUGGCAGCGAGAAACUAGUCCCCUGGGUUGUGCCAUAUGGCCCAUACUUCUUUUUGUUGGUUAGGAAAGACAAUGACGUAAUCACAGUGUAGCCGGCAUAUACUCCCACAGUUCCGCUAAUCCCGAUGAGGUUCUCAUCAUCAGCAAAUGUAAACUGAAGAUAUACCCAAAUAGAUGAUAAAUGAUGUAUGAUAAAACUAGAAUAUAAGUGCAGUACAUGUUUAGGUAACAGAUGUAAUGAAAGCCCACUAUACCGUAUGAGGUGAACCACCAUCACCACCAUAUGUUUCAGAAUGGUGUUUGACAUUAUCACGAUCCUUGUAAGUGAACCUGAUUGAAUCUACACACCCUGAGGCACUGAUACGGAUCUCGCAAAUCCUGCCCUCAGGGAUGAAUGUCCAGGGAUUAACUCCACCCUUACCUCCCCACGGUCCAACCUGUACGCCAUUGCCUGCCUGCAUAUAGGGGUGAAAUAAAAUAUAUAACUAAGAAGUGGACAUAUCUUAGCAAUCAACAGAUGAAAUACACCAGGUUAACCAUAAACCCAGCAUUUCCAAAUAUAUAUGGUGAAAGAGUAUACCAUGUUUGAUCUGAAUGUAUUCUCAAAGGAAAAGAUGAAACUCGUGGAAAGUAAUAAGUUAUACAUUUAGCCCCAUUAAGAGAAGGACUAUUUAUAGACCUGAUCAGGUAGGGUUUUUAAAGUAUAAUGGAUUCAGAUAAGAUGUCCGGUCUUCCUGUAAUGAAAACAUAAAAGUUUAUAUUGAUUUACUAUGAUUGGGUAAAUGUAAUUCUUUAGUAAAAGAUGUCGGUAGAAUAUGUUAGGGUGUAGUAACUUAAGGAUGAAUAGUAGUUUCACAUGUGUCAAUGUACGGUAUCAAUUUUUAGAGCACAUGCUUGUUAGGUAGUAAUUCAAUAAGAUGACAAUAGAUGCUUCUGUCAUCAGUUUUCAAAGGCUUCCAUCACAGACAUUUAUUCUAACAACCAAGCUUUUGAACACAAGUUUGGAGGUUUUUGAGCACAUGUGGGUGAUCUUUCUAUUUCAAUUUUGUACCAAUCGUUUUUUCUGCAUUUCUAGUUUGAGCAGCAAAUUGUGUCCCUCUUCUUGUACUUUGAAAUCUACAAGUAACUUGUUCUGAAACCCACCCAUUUAAUUAUCAUAUCUUGUCGUGUCAACAAGUGUAUUUUUGUGUUGUGUUCAUGUCGGAUUUGCAGUUUAGGGUUUAGACGUUUAAAUAUGUCGAUAGAUUGAAGGAGUAGGAGUUAGAGACGUUGAAAAGUAAAUGUGAAAAAUAGGAAGACUAGUAGUUUGGGGGUAUUGGAAUGAAUAUCACGAUAAGUUUAGAGGAGGAAAGUCACAUUGAAAUGGAAAUGGGUGAGUAAGAUUGUGGAGUAUAACAUGUUAAUGAAAAAGUGAAAAACUAAAAGUAAGUUUCAGCGGGACGGCUAAUUAGUAUAUGAUGUUAAUUAAAAAGUGAAAAACUAAAAGCAGGGGCGGAACACGAGAAGUUAAAUUAGGGGGGCCAAAAUCAAAUUUAAAAAAAAAAACAUAUUAAUAAGUUUAAUUUGAUUAAAGGAUAUGAGAUAUAGAAAUUUUUAAAUAAAACAACUAGUAUGAAAUAUAUUUAUGUCGCUCAUAAAAAUGGAACCUUUUCGAAUAGUGAUCUUGAUUCGGCUUACAAGUCUACUGUUCCUCAAUUUAAAUAAAAUAAAAUAAAAUGCUUUAUAAUAUUAUUAUUGAGGAGGUCUAUAAUCUCAACUCUAAACCAAAACAAAAUUUUGAUCAUCAUUUAUCUUGGUGGAAUAACCUUACCUUAGCUAAGCAGCUUAUUUUUUUUCCAAAAUCUCACUAAAUGAGAAUUUUGUACACGCUUUCAAGUAUACGUUUGGUAUUAACCAAGUGCUUUCUCUAUGUAUUACUAUUUUUUAUUUUUAUAUAUAUUACUAUAUUGAGAUUGAGAUGUUUAAUUAAACAUAAAAGAAUAACCAAAAUAUUUAUAAAACGUGGAAAUAAAUGCAAAUAAAAGAACUGAAAUUAUAGUCUUAAAAAAGGAGAAUGCACUCGGUAGGCCCACAUUGGUUUAAUGAAAUAAAUAAAUAAUACUCAACUUUGAAAUAUCUCAUCCAAUUCAAGUUUGCUAACGAGUUGCAAAUAGACUAAUAGGUUGGAACUUAGAACCCAAAAAAGCAAGGGGGCCAUGGCCCCCCUUGGCUAUAACUAAGUUCCGCCACUGACUAAAAGUAAAUAUUGACUGGAACGGUUAAUUAGUAGCUUCCAAAUUAUAAAACGAUUCAACCAAAGUUUUCUUUUACCACUAGUUUUUAUUCUAGGCAUGCUGAGUUUACCUAAAAGAUGAAUAGAAGUUGUCUAUAUAUAAACGUCUCAUUUUUGUGUUAGAAAGUUUAGACUUUAACAUUACCCGUUUAAUAUUCGUGACAUAUCUACUCGUUCAAUAAAAUAGGUGGAAAUCUUUUACCCAUACUCGUCUAUUUGCAUGUCGUGUCGAUAAUUUCCACCCUUCAGUUUUUUAUGGAUUUCAGUUAGAGAAAAUGGUUCUAGUCUCUCUUUAGGGUGAGUAAUCCAAUUACUACCGCAACGAUAUGGUAGUUUAAAAUAUUAAUCUAAUUACUCAAUCGUUGUAGUUCAACCCACUUUUUAUUUAGCGGAAUUUGCAAGAAUGGUCAUGUGGUUUAUAAUUUUUUGUGUUUCGGUCAAAAAAACGUUUGUGCAUAAACUAGUACUACAAAAUGAUAUAUUUAUUUAUUUUUGUUCGGUCUCAACUUAAAAAACUACUAUAACACUUAUAAUUGUUUUUUCAUUGGUUUUUUUGGUUUUAUUUUAAUUUUUCUAAAAUGAAAAAUACAAAAAGCAUGUAACAACAAUCCCAUCCUUACUCCCCUCUCUUUAAAGACGUUGACUCAAAAUCUUCUCCGAAUGCUCUCGCUCAACUAUCUAGGACCUAGCAUCUACAACCCCUUCUCGCCGGAAAGUACCUUCGUCUCACUGCCUCCAUUCCCCUAUCAUUCUCUAUUUCUUGUCCCAUUUUUCGUCUUUUGAUAACGGUGAAACCACCACCACCAUAAUGUUUCCUAAUCCAUGGUAUUGGUGCAACCAUGGUAAAUUAUGCGAUUUAAAAUUAUGGGUGUUACAAGUUGGUAUCAAAGCCAUGGUUUACGCUAAUUACGUUGGAUUAUCCUUCCUAGGUUUAAACAAUAAAAAUAACGGUGUGUGUUCCUUGUGAAAGUGGUGUGAUUAUUUUUAGAUUUGCGUGCCUGGUUUGGUAAGAGUUAUGAUUCGGAUAAUAUCUCCCUAUAUAGAUUAGGAGGUUAUGUUAAUUUUUUGUGGCAAUGAGAACUGAUUGGGAAUUUCUAUUACCAUGUGAGACAUAGGUAACUAGGAAUUACCGAAAAAGAAAGCCAUAUAGUUUGUCUCUAUGAUAAAGUUGGAAUUCUAAUAGAGAACUAGAACUUUGAAAGUUAUGAGAGUCCUGUUAUUUAUGUAGUAAAACUGUAGGAGCGGUUCGCAAGGGUGAUGUUUUUUAUCAAAGGAGUCUGGAAAAAGUCUUGGUGUCAUGGAAGAAAGUCGUAACGGUUUACAUUUAUACCGAUUAACUCACAAACUUGUUAGCAUUGUUCGUCAAUGCGUGGUUUACAGAAGAAAGGAAGAUCUAAUGUAAUUUGAAAGGCAUACCCUCAGAAUAUUAGAAUAUUAUGCAGGUGAAAUGAUAGUGUGUAUUAUAUAAUGCGACGGUGGUAGUAUUAUUUAUGAGAGGCUUUUAAGAAGAUUAAAACGGGUGUGAAGAAGAGGACAAUGGUACAACUAGUGUUGUCAUAGACACUUGGCGAAAAGUUUAACCGGAACAUGACUGUGUUGCUGACGUGGAUAGAAAGGCAUGAAGGUAAGAAAUGCAAAGAGUACACAGAAGAAAAAGUUAUGAAGAAGAGAGAACUUAUAACUCCUAAUUUGAGGCAACGUGUGGAUCUGUAACGUAUUAAUAAAUCUAGGGAUGAUUUAUGUGUGUGUGAAAGGUUGUUAUUUCCUUUUGUGAAUCAGUUGAAAAGGUUGUAUUAAACCUUAUGAUGGUAAGGAGUCAUAAAAAAGGGAUCAAAGAGUCAUAUGGAUUCGUGAGAGUAUAACAAUCUCUUGUUAAGAGCUUAAGGCAAGUAUUGAAUUGAGUAAGGAACUUAAUGAUCAAGUGACUGAUGAAAUAUGAGAUAUGAAACUUCAAGGACGUGUGACUCCUUGAUGUGAGGGACUAGUGUAUAAUUACAUCUCGUUAAUGUACUAGUUAUAGACCUGAGGUGCAAGGAUAUGAAACUUUUAGAAGCUGACUAGGUGAUCAACGAAUAGAUAUAAUGGUACACUUCCAAAUUCUCAUAUAGAGAAGGUAAUAAGAAGAAUAACGAAAUUGGUUUGGUAAAACUUGUGAAUCGGGAAAUAGAAUGGUAAAGUCAGAACUACAUGAUAAUCAUUUGCAUGCAAUGUUAUGGCUCGCAUAUCACUACACACACAUAUCACUCGUUGUGAUUUGAAAAAAACAUGAUGUUGUUCGAAAUUGGAGUAUGAGAUGGGAAAUUCUAGUUGGGUAUGUUGGAAUACUAACGGUGUGUGAAUAAAGACAUUUAGGUAUCAUGUGUUAAGUAACAUUAGAACGUGUAAUGUGUAAUGUCUAGUGUACGAACAUUAUGCAAUUAUUAGACAAAUGAUGUAUUUGGAUGUGAUAGUUAUGGUUAGUUGUGGAGUGAUCAUGUUUGAUACUUCAUUAAAGAAGUUAGAAGGAAGCCUGGUAAGUGGUUGCCCAAUUACCGAUAAAAUUAGAAUACCUUAGUUGAAGCAUGAUGGGAAAGGGAUAUGGUAAUGGGAUGCGUAAAAGAUUCCAAUGGUGAAUUUGAUUUGGGGCACAAGAAAAUCUGCUACAAUUUGGUCCAGUGUUCUUAGUUUAGUUAACACGAGUAUGAAUUCAACUUCUUCAGCCGGUUGUGUGAAAAUUAGAAUUCUUAAAGGUGUUUGUGUCAAGUGGCACAAAAGGUCUGGGCAUACUCCAUCAUGUUUUCACCCAUAACCAUGACUGAAAAUUUCGAAAUAUGUUUGUGAGGUUGAUUGAAGCAAUUGAUGAGACAAGGUUGGAUGAUGUUAUAAGUACUACCACAAUUGACUAAAACGGUAACGGUUUAGUUUUUAGAGAGAGGAAAACCCAAAAAAACGUUGUGGUGGAAAAUGUAAGGAAUUGAUUUUUGGCGUAGUUGAGGUUCUCGGUAGUCGGUAUGGGUUCAAGGAGAUGGUCUUCGUCGAAGUGAUCUGCAUUGUCAACGACGAGCAUGAACUGUGGGAGGUUACACUUGUCGCACAAUGUUUUUUUUUACUGAUUCAGGGGAUAAGAAGGAGAAUCGACGAGGAUGUUUUGGUGUGGGUAAGACGGUCAGCAUGGGUUAGGAAGUGGUAGUUGUUGGUGAUGAUGGUGUGAUACUGGUUGCUGGUAAAUUCUUGGGAUAUGUUAUAGUAGAUGAAGAACAUGAGUUUAGAAAGUGUGGUUUUGCAAAUCCGAGUUUAUCUUCCAAGAGUUUGACUAACCCAUAUGCUUGAUGAAGGGAAGUGGGGUGAUGAAGUGCUAACUCGUUCUGAAUGUUAGGAAUAUAGAAUUCAACACAGAGAGUUGAGAGGAAGCAAUUUAGAAGGGAAUUGGUAUCGUGACCUGAGAGGAUGCAAUUGCUGACUUUUUCGAACUCUAAUUGAUAGGCCGAAACAAUGGUCAGUUGCCGAAGUUUGAAGUGGACGACUUGGUAGUUCUCUUAUGUGGAAGAUCCGAGCGGAGUUCCAAGGCUCGGGAGAACUCCGUCCACGUGCACAAUAGGUGGAUGUUUGCUAGAUGCUUGUACCGACUCUAGGCAUCUACGGCGAAGUAAAAGAUAACAAUGGUAACUCGUUGAGCUUGUGCGAUGGUAUAGUAAUCAAAGUAGGUUACCAUAGAAGUUGGAUAGGGAAAUUUUGGUGGUCGGAGGUGGUUCGGUGGUGGUGGUGGUGGUGAUUUUUGUUGUUGUUGUUGUAAGGAUGUUGACAAGUUGAUCCAACUUGGUGGCGGUAGUGAUGGAGAGACGGAUAAGGGUUACCAUUUGGUCUUGGAGGGUUGAGUUAGGGUUGUUAGAGGAGGAGCACGAUUAGCUUUCAGGAGGCAUUGAAAUGAGAAUGAAAGCACCAGUUGAUAGCAAGCCAAUUUGAGAUGGUGAAUCUCCCAAGAGAAGUAAGAACAAGAAACUUGGGGCAGUUUUCUGCUUACUUUAACCAAAUGUAGGGUACAAUUUACCGAAAUGUGAAAGAUAUCAUUCUAGCUAAAUUAAGGAAACAUACAUGCAGGAACAAUCGUUAGCUCGUAACUUAAUGCAAUUAGCUUUUACCGGAAAAGUGGAAGUAGGCCAAGCCUUCAAGUAUGUGGACAGGGGUGGAUGCUUUAAGGGGCCAGGAGGGGCCAUGGCCCCUCCGUUUUUUAGCUUUCCAACUCCAAUACUCAAGGAGUAUGAAUGUAGAAGCGGAUCUCUUAGGGCUGAUGCGGUUGUGUCCUCCCUGUUGUGUGGGACAUAUAUGUGAUGAUUGACGAGACCAAGUAGGGCCUUCGAAGAAUACAUGCAAAACGUUCCCGUUAUCCAUUCAAUGCCCUUAUUCAUACUCAAACCUUCUUGCUUCAACGAUUCUUCGAGUGACUAAUUACCGGUGGCAGAAUUGUUGACUCCUACAUUGCUAAAUUGCUCAUGUUUUAUGGAAAUCUACCCAAAUUAAUCUGUAUGUUUCUUUCUCCGUCUCCAUUUUAGUUAUUUUCUUUUCCAAAAUUGCUAUAUAUUUGUAGUUAGAGUUCAAUUAUUAGGGUUUUGCAACCCAAUUUUGAUACAAAUUCAUUUUCAUUUUUCAAUGUUAACAUCAAUUUUGGCUUUGAAAUCAGAUUUCAUACUCAUAACAUGUAGAUUUGAAUAUGUAUAUGAAUGAGUAUUUUGAGAUUCAAUAAUCAAAAUUAUCAACAAUAAAACCAGGGUCAUCGCUCCUACUCUUUUCCCGGUUGAAAAGUUGAAAAGGUUGGCUAUUGAUCUUUUGAGGUAAAUGUAUUAUAUUUUUUUUUUAUUUCUCUUAGUUUUUUGGAAUCUGAUUCAUAUUGGUAUGGCAGCAUCAUAUUUUGUUAGUUUAAGCAAAAUAUUUGAUUAAAGGAUUAAAAUCCUUUAAGGCUUUUGUAGGAUGUAAUACUUUGAGCUAAAUAUCUGAUUACAUGAUUAAAAGAUUAGAAUCCUUUAAGACCUUUGCAGGCUGUUCUACUUUAAAUUAAUGACAGUUCAUGAUCAUUGCAUUUUUUUUAUUACAGGGUUAAAUGUGUCUUUUUAGUUACUAGAUGAAUAAUGAGCUCAUAAGUCCAAUUCAAUUAAAUAGUUGUGUUUGGUUUAUUUAGAUCCAUCAUUUGGGCAUUCUAUAUGCUUUAUUUCACAUAUGAAUAUCUUGAAAGUAGCUAAUAAAUAGGUUUGAUGCUUGGAGAUUCUCACACACAGUAACUGUUGCUUUUACACUAUGUACUUGUAUGUUUUUGAGGCUCUCUAUACUUAAUCUCUUAUGAUCACUUGUUAGCCCUUUUUGGUGCUAUUCACAGACGUAACUAUGAUGAUAUCAAAGAAUAUGAGCAAACUCUUACUAAACAGAUCAUGAAUGAUCAUACUUUCUUUGUUAAUGUUUACUUGAUACGGUUAUAGUUUUUCUUUUUAUUGUAAUAAAUUUUCUUUACUUUUUAUAUGAUUUAUUUUGAAAGUUGGAUUCCGCCCCCUAGUUCAAAUGUCUGUGUUCCGCCCAUGUAUGUGGAGUUCCAUACUUGUGCUUCAAUCCUUGUAAUGGGCCUUUCAAACUUAUUUUUUGAUGGACUUCAGUUUGCUGACUCUUUUCUAGUGUAUGCGCGGUAUCACUUCCCCAUGGUUGAGUUGACAAUACCCUUAUAGCACUUAAUACCCCCAUUGUUGCCAUAUAAAUAAAUAAAUAAAUAAAUAAAUAAAUAAACUGAUGACAGCUUCUUGUUACACCCAUUAUCACCAUUUAAUUUUCAUACAUCGCUACAAAAAAUAUGGAUGAAUUUAAAUGUAUUAGAAGAAAUUCUUCUUCGCCAAACAAAUGCUCAUUAUGUGUGAUUGUAGAGUCAUAAUUGCUAUUUUUCCAUAACUAGUUCAUAUGGCUAACUUCAAAACAAAGAAAAAAAUAUUUUCAUUAUAUACAAUUCCAUACAACUUGUUUUUAACUAUAUUUAAGUGUAGCAAAAUUUAUCAUUAUUUACCAGAUAAUCAAUUAUCUAGUAUUGUGAAAGAACACCUACAAACUUAAUUCUUAUUUGGUGUAAUGGUUGACCAAAGAAAACAUGGGUUUUGAUGUCCUGAUCAUCUGAAGCCUCGUUUGAACAAUGUAAAGUGCGACUUAUGUUGUGUUGAUGCAGCUGGACUAUGAAGAUGUUUCCUAUUAUUUAAUUUUCUUACAUAUAUAAGAAGAAAUACGGCGAGUCAAAAUAUGUACAGUCCGUUAUGUCUACAAGAUUGUAGAGCGAUCAACCAUGCAAUGAAGAAAACAAAAACGAAAUUCAAGGGGGACAUAUUAGCAAACAGCCAAACUGAAAAUAUCCCAUUAGAAGUGUUUGAGAGUACAUGAUCAAGACACCUAGUGCACAAGGGUGCUUAUUGUAAUUAUAUUUAGGAAACAAGAUACGAUCUUAAAACAUAAAGCAAUAAUACGAGUUGAACAUCAAAACAAGAUAACACAACAAUUUCACAAACACAUCUCUCAGGCUUCUUUAUUUUGACAAGGUUAUGUAUGCAGGCUGCAAAUACAUGAUAUUUGUCCGCGUUACUAAUAGGGAUGAAGAAUGACACUGAAAGAGUCGAGGUAAUCCCCGUAGUUUCCGCUGAAUCCACCAAAGCUACCCUUAGCGACUGGCAGCGAGAAACUAGUCCCCUGGGUUGUGCCAUAUGGCCCAUACUUCUUUUUGUUGGUUAGGAAAGACAAUGACGUAAUCACAGUGUAGCCGGCAUAUACUCCCACAGUUCCGCUAAUCCCGAUGAGGUUCUCAUCAUCAGCAAAUGUAAACUGAAGAUAUACCCAAAUAGAUGAUAAAUGAUGUAUGAUAAAACUAGAAUAUAAGUGCAGUACAUGUUUAGGUAACAGAUGUAAUGAAAGCCCACUAUACCGUAUGAGGUGAACCACCAUCACCACCAUAUGUUUCAGAAUGGUGUUUGACAUUAUCACGAUCCUUGUAAGUGAACCUGAUUGAAUCUACACACCCUGAGGCACUGAUACGGAUCUCGCAAAUCCUGCCCUCAGGGAUGAAUGUCCAGGGAUUAACUCCACCCUUACCUCCCCACGGUCCAACCUGUACGCCAUUGCCUGCCUGCAUAUAGGGGUGAAAUAAAAUAUAUAACUAAGAAGUGGACAUAUCUUAGCAAUCAACAGAUGAAAUACACCAGGUUAACCAUAAACCCAGCAUUUCCAAAUAUAUAUGGUGAAAGAGUAUACCAUGUUUGAUCUGAAUGUAUUCUCAAAGGAAAAGAUGAAACUCGUGGAAAGUAAUAAGUUAUACAUUUAGCCCCAUUAAGAGAAGGACUAUUUAUAGACCUGAUCAGGUAGGGUUUUUAAAGUAUAAUGGAUUCAGAUAAGAUGUCCGGUCUUCCUGUAAUGAAAACAUAAAAGUUUAUAUUGAUUUACUAUGAUUGGGUAAAUGUAAUUCUUUAGUAAAAGAUGUCGGUAGAAUAUGUUAGGGUGUAGUAACUUAAGGAUGAAUAGUAGUUUCACAUGUGUCAAUGUACGGUAUCAAUUUUUAGAGCACAUGCUUGUUAGGUAGUAAUUCAAUAAGAUGACAAUAGAUGCUUCUGUCAUCAGUUUUCNUGGUGUGAUUAUUUUUAGAUUUGCGUGCCUGGUUUGGUAAGAGUUAUGAUUCGGAUAAUAUCUCCCUAUAUAGAUUAGGAGGUUAUGUUAAUUUUUUGUGGCAAUGAGAACUGAUUGGGAAUUUCUAUUACCAUGUGAGACAUAGGUAACUAGGAAUUACCGAAAAAGAAAGCCAUAUAGUUUGUCUCUAUGAUAAAGUUGGAAUUCUAAUAGAGAACUAGAACUUUGAAAGUUAUGAGAGUCCUGUUAUUUAUGUAGUAAAACUGUAGGAGCGGUUCGCAAGGGUGAUGUUUUUUAUCAAAGGAGUCUGGAAAAAGUCUUGGUGUCAUGGAAGAAAGUCGUAACGGUUUACAUUUAUACCGAUUAACUCACAAACUUGUUAGCAUUGUUCGUCAAUGCGUGGUUUACAGAAGAAAGGAAGAUCUAAUGUAAUUUGAAAGGCAUACCCUCAGAAUAUUAGAAUAUUAUGCAGGUGAAAUGAUAGUGUGUAUUAUAUAAUGCGACGGUGGUAGUAUUAUUUAUGAGAGGCUUUUAAGAAGAUUAAAACGGGUGUGAAGAAGAGGACAAUGGUACAACUAGUGUUGUCAUAGACACUUGGCGAAAAGUUUAACCGGAACAUGACUGUGUUGCUGACGUGGAUAGAAAGGCAUGAAGGUAAGAAAUGCAAAGAGUACACAGAAGAAAAAGUUAUGAAGAAGAGAGAACUUAUAACUCCUAAUUUGAGGCAACGUGUGGAUCUGUAACGUAUUAAUAAAUCUAGGGAUGAUUUAUGUGUGUGUGAAAGGUUGUUAUUUCCUUUUGUGAAUCAGUUGAAAAGGUUGUAUUAAACCUUAUGAUGGUAAGGAGUCAUAAAAAAGGGAUCAAAGAGUCAUAUGGAUUCGUGAGAGUAUAACAAUCUCUUGUUAAGAGCUUAAGGCAAGUAUUGAAUUGAGUAAGGAACUUAAUGAUCAAGUGACUGAUGAAAUAUGUGAUAUGAAACUUCAAGGACGUGUGACUCCUUGAUGUGAGGGACUAGUGUAUAAUUACAUCUCGUUAAUGUACUAGUUAUAGACCUGAGGUGCAAGGAUAUGAAACUUUUAGAAGCUGACUAGGUGAUCAACGAAUAGAUAUAAUGGUACACUUCCAAAUUCUCAUAUAGAGAAGGUAAUAAGAAGAAUAAGGAAAUUGGUUUGGUAAAACUUGUGAAUCGGGAAAUAGAAUGGUAAAGUGAGAACUACAUGAUAAUCAUUUGCAUGCAAUGUUAUGGCUCGCGUAUCACUACACACACAUAUCACUCGUUGUGAUUUGAAAAAAACAUGAUGUUGUUCGAAAUUGGAGUAUGAGAUGGGAAAUUCUAGUUGGGUAUGUUGGAAUACUAACGGUGUGUGAAUAAAGACAUUUAGGUAUCAUGUGUUAAGUAACAUUAGAACGUGUAAUGUGUAAUGUCUAGUGUACGAACAUUAUGCAAUUAUUAGACAAAGGAUGUAUUUGGAUUUGAUAGUUAUGGUUAGUUGUGGAGUGAUCAUGUUUGAUACUUCAUUAAAGAAGUUAGAAGGAAGCCCGGUAAGUGGUUGCCCAAUUACCGAUAAAAUUAGAGUACCUUAGUUGAAGCAUGAUGGGAAAGGGAUAUGGUAAUGGGAUGCGUAAAAGAUUCCAAUGGUGAAUCUGAUUUGGGGCAAAAAAAAAUCUGCUACAAUUUGGUCCAGUGUUUUUAGUUUAGUUAACACAAGUAUGAAUUCAACUUCUUCAACCGGUUGUGUGAAAAUUAGACUUCUGAAAGGUGUUUGUGUCAAGUGGCACAAAAGGUAUAGGCAUACUCCAUCAUGUUUUCACCCAUAACCAUGACUGAAAAUUUCGAAAUAUGUUUGUGAGGUUGAUUGAAGCAAUUGAUGAGACAAGGUUGGAUGAUGUUAUAAGUACUACCACAAUUGACUAAAACGGUAACGGUUUAGUUUUUAGGGAGAGGAAAACCCAAAAAACGUUGUCGUUGAAAAUGUAAGGAAUUGAUUUUUGGCGUAGUUGAGGUUCUCGGUAGUCGGUAUGGGUUCAAGGAGAUUGUCUUCGUCGAAGUGAUCUGCAUUGUCAACGACGAGCGUGAACUGUGGGAGGUUACACUCAUCGCACAAUGUUUUUUUUACUGAUUCAGGGGAUAAGAAGGAGAAUCGACGAGGAUGUUUUGGUGUGGGUAAGACGGUCAGCAUGGGUUAGGAAGUGGUAGUUGUUGGUGAUGAUGGUGUGAUACUGGUUGCUGGUAAAUUCUUGGGAUAUGUUAUAGUAGAUGAAGAACAUGAGUUUGGAAAGUGUGGUUUUGCAAAUCCGAGUUUAUCUUCCAAGAGUUUGACUAACCCAUAUGCUUGAUGAAGGGAAGUGGGGUGAUGAAGUGCUAACUCGUUCUGAAUGUUAGGAAUAUAGAAUUCAACAUAGAGAGUUGAGAGGAAGCAAUUUAGAAGGGAAUUGGUAUCGUGACUUGAGAGGAUGCAAUUGCUGACUUUUUCGAACUCUAAUUGAUAGGCCGAAACAAUGAGUAUUUUGAGAUUCAAUAAUCAAAAUUAUCAACAAUAAAACCAGGGUCAUCGCUCCUACUCUUUUCCCGGUUGAAAAGUUGAAAAAGUUGGCUAUUGAUCUUUUGAGGUAAAUCUAUUAUAUAUAUUUUUUUUAUUUCUCUUAGUUUUUUGGAAUCUGAUUCAUAUUGGUAUAGCAGCAUCAUAUUUUGUUAGUUUAAGCAAAAUAUUUGAUUAAAGGAUUAAAAUCCUUUAAGGCUUUUGUAGGAUGUAAUACUUUGAGCUAAAUAUCUGAUUACAUGAUUAAAAGAUUAGAAUCCUUUAAGACCUUUGCAGGCUGUUCUACUUUAAAUUAAUGACAGUUCAUGAUCAUUGCAUUUUUUUUAUUACAGGGUUAAAUGUGUCUUUUUAGUUACUAGAUGAAUAAUGAGCUCAUAAGUCCAAUUCAAUUAAAUAGUUGUGUUUGGUUUAUUUAGAUCCAUCAUUUGGGCAUUCUAUAUGCUUUAUUUCACAUAUGAAUAUCUUGAAAGUAGCUAAUAAAUAGGUUUGAUGCUUGGAGAUUCUCACACACACAGUAACCGUUGCUUUUACACUAUGUACUUGUAUGUUUUUGAGGUUGUCUAUACUUAAUCUCUUAUGAUCACUUGUUAGCCCUUUUUGGUGCUAUUCACAGACGUAACUAUGAUGAUACCAAAUAAUAUGAGCAAACUCUUACUAAACAGAUCAUGAAUGAUCAUACUUUCUUUGUUAAUGUUUACUACGAUUGGUAUUUGGUAUAGUUACUACUUGAUAUGGUUAUAGUUUUUCUUUUUAUUGUAAUAAAUUUUCUUUACUUUUUAUAUGAUUUAUUUUGAAAGUUGGAUUCGGCCCCCCUAGUUCAAAUGUCUGUGUUCCGCCCCUGUAUGUGGAGUUCCAUACUUGUGCUUCAAUCCUUGUAAUGGGCCUUUCAAACUUAUUUUUUGAUGGACUUCAGUUUGCUGACUCUUUUCUAGUGUAUGCGCGGUAUCACUUCCCCAUGGUUGAGUUGACAAUACCCUUAUAGCACUUAAUACCCCCAUUGUUGCCAUAUAAAUAAAUAAAUAAAUAAAUAAAUAAAUAAACUGAUGACAGCUUCUUGUUACACCCAUUAUCACCAUUUAAUUUUCAUACAUCGCUACAAAAAAUAUGGAUGAAUUUAAAUGUAUUAGAAGAAAUUCUUCUUCGCCAAACAAAUGCUCAUUAUGUGUGAUUGUAGAGUCAUAAUUGCUAUUUUUCCAUAACUAGUUCAUAUGGCUAACUUCAAAACAAAGAAAAAAAUAUUUUCAUUAUAUACAAUUCCAUACAACUUGUUUUUAACUAUAUUUAAGUGUAGCAAAAUUUAUCAUUAUUUACCAGAUAAUCAAUUAUCUAGUAUUGUGAAAGAACACCUACAAACUUAAUUCUUAUUUGGUGUAAUGGUUGACCAAAGAAAACAUGGGUUUUGAUGUCCUGAUCAUCUGAAGCCUCGUUUGAACAAUGUAAAGUGCGACUUAUGUUGUGUUGAUGCAGCUGGACUAUGAAGAUGUUUCCUAUUAUUUAAUUUUCUUACAUAUAUAAGAAGAAAUACGGCGAGUCAAAAUAUGUACAGUCCGUUAUGUCUACAAGAUUGUAGAGCGAUCAACCAUGCAAUGAAGAAAACAAAAACGAAAUUCAAGGUGGACAUAUUAGCAAACAGCCAAACUGAAAAUAUCCCAUUAGAAGUGUUUGAGAGUACAUGAUCAAGACACCUAGUGCACAAGGGUGCUUAUUGUAAUUAUAUUUAGGAAACAAGAUACGAUCUUAAAACGUAAAGCAAUAAUACGAGUUGAACAUCAAAACAAGAUAACACAACAAUUUCACAAACACACACUACUAGAAACUUGAGUUUCAGCUACGGAUUUAGAGAGAGAUUUAUUCCGUAGCAAAAUUUUGGUUUAUAGAGAGGGAAUUACGAGAGAUCUACGAUGGUUUAAAAAAGUAUUUUAUUUAUUCAACAUAUAGCGAAUUAGAGAGGGUUUAGCGAGUGAUAAGUUACGGAUCUUACAAGUCUUUAUCGACGCGCCCUUAUUCGUCGGUAAUCGGUGGAAAACGAAGGCAUUUGGCGAGGGUUCAACGAGGGAAAAAAAAUCGGCGACUUUUUGUCUUCUGGUAUGUAUUUAGCGAGAGAAUGCCGAUGGAGCAUACACACGUUAUGUUUUUUUAAUUGAAGAUCUCUCGCUGAUUGACAAAUCCAAUUCCAGUUUCACGAAGUUUGUGUAAGUCUCCUUCCCUCCCAAAUCUGCUUUAUCACUCCAAUUGAACACGAAGUUUGUGUAAGUUUGACUCUCGAGUUGCAGCUUAACCUAAUCUCACCAUCUCCGUUCAAACAGAUGACGACACCAUGGACCAUUGCAGCUUCGGAUUCCGACAGCCUCCACAUUUUUGAAACCUAAAAUUAUUCUUCCUUAACUUCCGAUUCAGGUAAACCUGUUGAUUUUAUUUGCUUUAGUCAUAUAUUAGGUUAGGUUUGGUUCAAUUGCACAAUAUAUUACGUUAGGGUUUAAUUUCUCCAUUUUUUUCCUUUUUCAAUCGUCAUUCCUCUUAUAUCGAUUGCAUCUAUAUUAGAAUAGAUACUUAGAAUUAGAACUUGAUAUAGGGCUUGAUUGGUUGCUUUAGUCCUAUAUAAACCUGGUAGCAUAAGUUUUGUGCAUCAAAGCUUCACCUUGAAGCUCUCCUGUCAUCUCUGUACAUGCAUCCACAUGCUCUGCAACAAGCCCAACAACACCAGUUUCAUAGGCAAUCAUAGUAAACUGAUAAAUCCUCCAAUCCGUGUCAGCUGUUUUCACCUGUGUAAUAUGCCUAAAUGCAAGUCAAAAUAAGUUUACUGAUCAAGUAAAAAAACAUUAUAUAGAAUGCCCUAAAGUGAUCAAGGUCUAUGGGAUUUUGAAAUAGUGGUGGAGACAAAUUCUUAUUACUAGUAUGUCCAUGGAGAACUUUUUUUAAGGUGGGAAACCUAGGAUCCCUAUCACAAGAUCAAACAGGCUGUCAAUAGCAAGCUGUCACUAUUGUUCUCAUGGCUUUAUUGUGUUAUGUGGAGACUUUGUAACGAGGUUGAAUUGAAGAAAAAAAAAGAUAAAUAUAAAAGAAAGAAAGAUGAUAGUUAAAUGUAUGAGAGGUAAAAAUGUAAAACAUACAGCAGGGGUUUUUGACAUUCUUUGAAAAUGGGGAAGACUUCUAUCUAUGAAUCCGUUUGGAGCUCGUUGACCUCCUACUGAUUUGUUGACCAACACAUGCAAUCAUUUGACUUAUGUUGAUUGUUUGGAAAAGAAAUUAAUUCUAUUGAAUUUGUUGUUCAUAGAGUUAUGGAAGAUAUUAGAUUGAAGUUAUUUGGUCUUAAAUUUGGUUAUUUGGGGCUGAAUAUAGAGAUUUGUAAAAGUUGGAACAUCCCAAUCAAAAAUGUCAAUGGUUCUGAUGGGGAUUGAUUUGAAUUGUUUUUUGGUUAAAAGGAAGUGCUGGCAGGUUUGCUGUCGUGGUUUCAGGUUGAUGAGAAUAAGGAUGGAUUAUAAUAAAUGUGUUGUUUUGAGCAAUUGGCUUAAAGGGUAUUUUUGUCAAUUUUAGAAAAUAAGAAAUUUAGAAGAAGGUAUCGUGAGUUGCAAUUUCAAAAGUAUCUAUUUUUCUUUGAUCUUUUUGGAUUCUUGGUGGGAUAAUAUUUUGAAGAAUAGAGAUUGCUGGAUGCGAAUUCAAGAACAAGGUCUGAUUGUGAUUUUUUUGGAUAAUGAGGAGGAUUGGAUUUUUUUAUCUCAGGCAUGCUAUCGCACGAUCAUAUGGAGGGAGGGAUACUUGCGAUUUGGAGAUUUUUAUUACUGGGAUGGGAGAAUUUUGGGUCAGGGGCAUAUUGGGUAUAUCCUAAUUUUUGGUGAGUUUCGUUUCUGGUCGGAAAAGAUUGCUGGUCGGUGUAGGGUGAAUAGUACUUGGGAUCUUUGUUUUAAUGGAGGUUUAAGUGGUGAGGGCAUUUUGGGAAUUUCUUUUUUCCUCAAUGAAUUUUGGGGCUGGAGCGAUCUGAUUGCUAGUUGGAUUGCUGUGCAUAUUAAUUGCUUCCAUGUAUUCGAUUUCCUUUUCAUAUAUUCUUCUGGGUUUUUUUAUUAUCGGAAAUGGUGGGAGUUCUUUUUUGACUGUUCUGAGAAGAAAGGUGUGAGGCAAUUUAAUCAAUUUUUUAUUAUGGCGGUUUGGACCUGUGAUUGGCAUUUGAAGAAUGAUGUUCGGAUUGGGAGUCAUAUUUGGUAUUGUUUUGAUCCUUUGGAUGUUGAACAUGAGGUGAAUAAAAGUUAUUGGGUUGUAAAUAUGGCUCACGUUGUUCGAUUUUUUGGAGUUGGAACCAGGGGCAUUUUGGUCAUAUAUAUAGAGAGAUUGUGUUAGAAUGAUUGAGAAGGGGUUUAAACGUGAUAAGGAUUGGGUUCUGACUUUAUUCAUUUGUUAUUACACGCAUGAAGAGAGGUUUUAUGGGAAUGGGAAGUUUUAUAUUCAGGGGUAUUUAAGGAAUAUUCGAAAGCCUAAAAUGUAGUUUAUUAUAAAGGGUUUUGCUUUUUUUUUUUUUUAUGUUUUAUGUGCUUUACAUUAUGUUUAUUUCUUUAUAUUUAUUAAAUAGGAGGUGGGAGUGAAGAAGUUCCAGUCGUGCUUUACCCAUAGUUCAAGAGAGAAGCAACUGUUGAGCCUCUGUUCUCCUCUGUUCUCUGUUCAAACAGGUGUGAUUAUUUUAUAUUUGAUCAAAUAUUUAUUUGGUUUUAGUUGUGACAAAAAUAUUUAUAAUAGUCGUGACACUUAAGUUUAUCCUCUGUUCUCCGUUCAAAAAUAUUUUAGUUGGUUGAUUGUUUUGUAAUUAAGUUCCCUGCAUGCUUGUUAACUGGAUCUGGUUACAGAAAAAAAAAGAACAAAAAAAUAUUUUUCAUUCUGAUCAAAAUUGAAAUGCAUUGGAUGUUAUUUUGUUUGCCCCUGGUUUGCUUUUCUCUUUUCUGACCAUUUUACCCCUGGACAUCAAUGCAUGGAUCUUUGCUCUAUUUUGGUAACAUAAGCCCCUCUGCGAUUUUUUUUCUCCCUGUGGUUUCAUUUUGUUUUGGAAUUAUAUGGUAAAAUGAUGAAUUUUCCAUAAAUCCUUAGAUGCAUGUGAUAGAACAACUUUAAUGUCUUCAAGUUUCAGCCCCUUUCCUUGAAUUGCCAAACAAUUGGAACAAAUACCAAAAUACCCUUUUAACCCUACAAUUUCACAAGAAAAGUUUCAAUUUCAAUUCCAAUUCUAAUUCCUUCAAUACCAACUCUUUAUCUACUUCCUUGAUUUGUGAGAUUUGUGACAUUUUUCAAUAGAUUCACAUGGACCUUCUUUCUGCAACAACAUUGCCCCUGCUUCUUAAUCCAAAAAAAUCGAAAAUAGAACAUAAUAUUUACAACUUCUCAAUUCCAAUUCCAAUUCCAAUUCCUUCAAUACCAACUCUUUAGAUAGAUUCCAUUCCUUCCUAAAAAACAUUAACUCUCUUAACAAACCAAUGCUGCAAUCAACCUUCUUGUCCUUAACUCUCUUAGCCUUGUUCUUCCUUCUUUUCGGCUUCUCUUCGGCUUCAGUGUCAUGUCAUUCACAGAGAGCUCCUCGACAUUAUCCUCUUCAACAAGCCUGUGCAAAAACUUGGGUCAUUAAUCACUCAUAUAUACAAUAAUGUAAAUUCCCAUUAUUUCGUUAAUUAACCUUGUUUAACUCACGUGUAUGUGUGUAUGCAUGCUUCAUUUCUGUAAUUUGAUAAUUCAUAUUUUCUGUAAAACUUCAUUUCCUUUCUGUAUCUGUAAUAAAAUAAUUACUUUUUUUUAACAUCUCCCUAAUUGCCCUGAUUCUAUGGGACCAGGGAGCUUCUGAAAGGUGAAUCAGAGGGACUUUUGAAACUUCCUGCAUUCCGCCCUUAUGUUGAGCUCUAUGCAAAGGUAUAUUGUGAACUUAUUAUUAUUAUAAUAUAAUAACCAAAUGUGAUGCCAAGUAAACUUUGAUCUUUUAUUCACUCGGUAGAAACUAGAGAGGUUCCUUCCACAGGAAACCUAAAAGUGCACACUAAACGUGCACUUUUAAAACAAAGCCAUUCCCAUUGCUUUAAUUAAGUAGAAUUUUAAUAUAAAAUGCUACGUUUUAACAGAAUUUAGUUUAAAGCCAUGUCAUAAUUGUUUAUAGGUUUGACUGAAAGUGUGAUCCAAACUUCCAUCAGUGAAAAACUUUUUAGUUUUUAAGUUAAACCUUUGGGAGUUUGAAGUUAUAUGGAUAGUUUUGGUUUUGGAUGUUUUUUGAAUGAUACUUUGGUAAACUUUGAUAGUUUUGGUAUUGUAAUGUUUGGUUGUAUUGUUAUUCGAUGUUUUUUAGUAUAAAAAUUUGAUGAUUGUAGUAUUUUUUUCUUUUAGAAUCAUAAAAAAAAAUGAUAUUACAAGUUCGCGACGGAUUGGUGAGAAUAAAAAAAGUACUUUAAUGCAUCAAUUUUGCGAGGGAUUAGCUACGAAAAAAAUAUCAUGUCUAAAGUUUGCGACGGAUCAGUGAUGGAACAAAAAAUUAAUGCCCUGAGAUAAUGUAUUGAGUGACAUUUAGCGACGGAUAUUCUGUCGCUACAUUUGUCGCAAGGAAAAAUCUCUCCAUCGCUAAAACCCUCUCUGAGAAAUUAGCCACCUAUUAAUUACCUAUGGAGUGAAUCCGUCGCUGAUCCAUCGCAAACAACAUUUAGCGACGGAAUAGCAACGGAUACUUCCGUCUCUAAAACUCAUGUUUCUAGUAGUGACAUCUCUCAGGCUUCUUUAUUUUGACAAGGUUAUGUAUGAGGCUGCAAA
Molecule: long non-coding RNA, 19519 nt
Filed under: Lactuca sativa (garden lettuce)
Lineage: Eukaryota; Viridiplantae; Streptophyta; Magnoliopsida; Asterales; Asteraceae
Description: long non-coding RNA (LSAT_LNC009893)
Source: RNAcentral